GAUAUCAUGAUAAGUUACCUUAUAUAUUUAUAAUGAGAGUUUUCAUAUGAGUAUGUGAUGGUUGUUGCAACCUGUAGCUCACGAUCUUGGGUUGGGAAUGUGAGACUUGGUACCAUUCUAUUUUUGCAAUAAGAAGUUGCUAAAACGGAUAUCACUUCUUGCCCACAUGUUUUCUCUCACAUGUAAUUUUUUCAUUGUUGGCUAUUAAUAAGAUUUCUCCAAGCAUGCGUCUACCCUGUUCUUGCAGCCUUACGAAUAACAGGUAGAACAUGUUUGCAUUUUCCUCCAAAUACUACCACUUUUCCACCAAAUGGUAAUAUAUUAUCCAUUAUAUCUAGCAUAGUACAAUCUAGUGCUUCAAUUGCAAGCUUUUAUGACAGUGGUGCUUUGUCCCGUAUAAUCAACUUAACUACUUGUAUCAUGAGAUAUUUUAAAUCUUAAUGUUCCAUGCGACCUCUAGGAAGUAUGGCUGCUACAACACCACAUGUUGCUGUGAAAUUGCGAUUGACGUAUGAGCUC
Molecule: long non-coding RNA, 519 nt
Filed under: Elaeis guineensis (African oil palm)
Lineage: Eukaryota; Viridiplantae; Streptophyta; Magnoliopsida; Arecales; Arecaceae
Description: long non-coding RNA (EGUI_LNC031178)
Source: RNAcentral